GUUUUGUCCAGGCUGCAAGGUUUCCUAUAACGUCAGUUGUAAAUAAGGAGAGCUAAACCAGUUUACAGUAUUUUUCGCACUAUAAGUCAAACGAGGGCUGGAUGUUAAUCUACACAGAUUUCUCUUCUGAAAACUGUUUAUUUGGCCCACAGAGAAAAUGGAGGAUAUCCAUAUCCUGAAAUCGUUUGAACAGGAAUCUGGCCGUCCAGAUAGCCAUUUCUGCACCCAGCCUUCUCCUGCUGUCCUUUGAAGAGGAAAAGGUUGCCUACACAUCAUUUCAUCACACCAGUCUGGGCCUCUUCGAGAUGUCAGCAGCUCCUAAUUUGUGCGUCACGUUUCAGAGCGAAGGACGUUCACGCAGUGGCAGCUUCGGAAUUGACAAUUAUUCUUGUUUUCAUAUGGAGAGGCAUCAGUGAACCCACAGCGCGGUGUCACGACUCAUGCUAAUCAGCAUUUUGUAAAUCUUAGUCUGAACGGGAAACUAGGAAUGCUUAACUAAUCCAAGACCAAUCCUAACGUGAGCGCCUCAAAGCAUAUUACACGGCUAAAGCCAGACUUAUCAGCAGUGAGUGGCUCUACAGGAUUCUCUACACACGUGCAUUUCAAAAAAAAAAAAAAUCCAAAAAAGAAACAAAGGAAUGAGGCAGUAAAGCAUGCUCUGCCUGAGGAUCAUAAGUUACAGGUGCAUCUUUUAAAAAUGUAAUAUCUUUAAAAAGUUUCUUUAUUUCAGUAAUUCAUUUCAAA
Molecule: long non-coding RNA, 744 nt
Filed under: Astyanax mexicanus (Mexican tetra)
Lineage: Eukaryota; Metazoa; Chordata; Actinopteri; Characiformes; Acestrorhamphidae
Description: lncRNA (ENSAMXG00005021974.1)
Source: RNAcentral